CCUACGGGUGGCAGCAGUGAGGAAUAUUGGUCAAUGGGCGCGAGCCUGAACCAGCCAAGUCGCGUGCGGGAAGACGGUCCUAUGGAUUGUAAACCUCUUUUGUAGGGGAGCAAAAGCCGCUACGCGUAGCGUUCCGAGAGUACCCGACGAAAAAGGAUCGGCUAACUCCGUGCCAGCAGCCGCGGUAAUACGGAGGAUGCGAGCGUUUUCCGGAUUUAUUGGGUUUAAAGGGUGCGCAGGCGGAGGAUCAAGUCAGCGGUAAAAUGUCCGGGCUAAACCCGGGCCGGCCGUUGAUACUGGGGAGCUUGAGUGUGCGAGAGGUAUGCGGAAUGCGUGGUGUAGCGGUGAAAGGCAUAGAUAUCACGCAGAACUCCGAUUGCGAAGGCAGCAUACCGGGGCCCGACUGACGCUGAGGCACGAAAGCGUGGGGAGCGAACAGGAUUAGAUACCCGUGUAGUC
RNAcentral lists this ribosomal RNA (459 nucleotides) under uncultured bacterium. Its description in RNAcentral is "partial 16S ribosomal RNA". It matches the Rfam family "Bacterial small subunit ribosomal RNA", at positions 338 to 795 of the family's 1533-position model. The record is from RNAcentral.